GGGUGAGUAACGCGUAGGAAUUUGUCCACAGGUGGGGGACAACCGCGGGAAACUGCGGCUAAUACCGCAUGAUGACUGAGGUCUAAAGGCGCGAGUCGCCUGUGGAGGAGCCUGCGUCUGAUUAGCUUGUUGGUGGGGUAACGGCCUACCAAGGCGAUGAUCGGUAGCUGGUCUGAGAGGAUGAUCAGCCACACUGGGACUGAGACACGGCCCAGACUCCUACGGGAGGCAGCAGUGGGGAAUAUUGGACAAUGGGCGCAAGCCUGAUCCAGCAAUGCCGCGUGAGUGAAGAAGGUCUUCGGAUUGUAAAGCUCUUUUGGCGGGGACGAUGAUGACGGUACCCGCAGAAUAAGCCCCGGCUAACUUCGUGCCAGCAGCCGCGGUAAUACGAAGGGGGCUAGCGUUGCUCGGAAUGACUGGGCGUAAAGGGCGCGUAGGCGGAUUGUACAGUCAGACGUGAAAUUCCUGGGCUCAACCUGGGGGCUGCGUUUGAUACGUAUAGUCUUGAGUGA
This 512-nucleotide ribosomal RNA is filed under the name uncultured Acetobacteraceae bacterium. RNAcentral describes it as "bacterial SSU rRNA". It matches the Rfam family "Bacterial small subunit ribosomal RNA", at positions 104 to 649 of the family's 1533-position model. The record is from RNAcentral. Lineage: Bacteria; Pseudomonadati; Pseudomonadota; Alphaproteobacteria; Acetobacterales; Acetobacteraceae.